AGAUGGAUUAGUGGCGCACGGAAGAAGUGAGUUUAGCAUUAGGUUUUGUGCCCUUUGAUUCUGGGAAUACCCCGUGGAACCGGUGAUUAAUUACUAGAUCUCCCUACGGGGGAAAGAAUUCCGCUAAAGGAUCCCCCUAUGUCCUAUCAGCUUGUUGGUGAGGUAAUGGCUCACCAAGGCUAUGACGGGUAUCCGACCUGAGAGGGUGAACGGACACACUGGAACUGAGACACGGUCCAGACUCCUACGGGAGGCAGCAGUAGGGAAUAUUGCUCAAUGGGGGAAACCCUGAAGCAGCAACGCCGCGUGGAGGAUGAAAGGUUUUAGGAUCGGUAAACUCCUUUUCUAAGA
This 351-nucleotide ribosomal RNA is filed under the name uncultured Helicobacter sp. RNAcentral describes it as "bacterial SSU rRNA". It matches the Rfam family "Bacterial small subunit ribosomal RNA", at positions 80 to 443 of the family's 1533-position model. The record is from RNAcentral. Lineage: Bacteria; Pseudomonadati; Campylobacterota; Epsilonproteobacteria; Campylobacterales; Helicobacteraceae.